This 809-nucleotide ribosomal RNA is filed under the name uncultured Staphylococcus sp. RNAcentral's name for it is "bacterial SSU rRNA". It matches the Rfam family "Bacterial small subunit ribosomal RNA", at positions 86 to 884 of the family's 1533-position model. Lineage: Bacteria; Bacillati; Bacillota; Bacilli; Caryophanales; Staphylococcaceae. The record is from RNAcentral.
UUGACGUUAGCGGCGGACGGGUGAGUAACACGUGGGUAACCUACCUAUAAGACUGGGACAACUUCGGGAAACCGGAGCUAAUACCGGAUAAUAUGUUGAACCGCAUGGUUCAAUAGUGAAAGAUGGUUUUGCUAUCACUUAUAGAUGGACCCGCGCCGUAUUAGCUAGUUGGUGAGGUAACGGCUCACCAAGGCAACGAUACGUAGCCGACCUGAGAGGGUGAUCGGCCACACUGGAACUGAGACACGGUCCAGACUCCUACGGGAGGCAGCAGUAGGGAAUCUUCCGCAAUGGGCGAAAGCCUGACGGAGCAACGCCGCGUGAGUGAUGAAGGUCUUAGGAUCGUAAAACUCUGUUAUUAGGGAAGAACAAACGUGUAAGUAACUGUGCACGUCUUGACGGUACCUAAUCAGAAAGCCACGGCUAACUACGUGCCAGCAGCCGCGGUAAUACGUAGGUGGCAAGCGUUAUCCGGAAUUAUUGGGCGUAAAGCGCGCGUAGGCGGUUUUUUAAGUCUGAUGUGAAAGCCCACGGCUCAACCGUGGAGGGUCAUUGGAAACUGGAAAACUUGAGUGCAGAAGAGGAAAGUGGAAUUCCAUGUGUAGCGGUGAAAUGCGCAGAGAUAUGGAGGAACACCAGUGGCGAAGGCGACUUUCUGGUCUGUAACUGACGCUGAUGUGCGAAAGCGUGGGGAUCAAACAGGAUUAGAUACCCUGGUAGUCCACGCCGUAAACGAUGAGUGCUAAGUGUUAGGGGUUUCCGCCCCUUAGUGCUCAGCUACGCAUUAAGCACUCCGCCUGGGGAGUACG